GACGAACGCUGGCGGCGUGCUUAACACAUGCAAGUCGAACGGUGAUGCUCCAGCUUGCUGGAGUGGAUCAGUGGCGAACGGGUGAGUAACACGUGAGCAACCUGCCCCAGACUCUGGAAUAAGCGCUGGAAACGGCGUCUAAUACUGGAUACGAAACUGGCCCGCAUGGGCAUGGUUUGGAAAGUUUUGCGGUUUGGGAUGGGCUCGCGGCCUAUCAGCUUGUUGGUGAGGUAAUGGCUCACCAAGGCGACGACGGGUAGCCGGCCUGAGAGGGCGACCGGCCACACUGGGACUGAGACACGGCCCAGACUCCUACGGGAGGCAGCAGUGGGGAAUAUUGCACAAUGGGCGGAAGCCUGAUGCAGCGACGCCGCGUGAGGGAUGACGGCCUUCGGGUUGUAAACCUCUUUCAGCAGGGAAGAAGCGAAAGUGACGGUACCUGCAGAAGAAGCACCGGCUAACUACGUG
Molecule: ribosomal RNA, 468 nt
Filed under: uncultured bacterium
Lineage: Bacteria
Description: partial 16S ribosomal RNA
Rfam family: Bacterial small subunit ribosomal RNA
Source: RNAcentral